CCUACGGGCGGCUGCAGCAAGGAAUUUUCGGCAAUGGAGGCAACUCUGACCGAGCAACGCCGCGUGGGUGAGGAAGUCUUUAGGGAUGUAAAACCCUUUUCUCUUUGAAGAAGGAAAGACGGUAGAAGAGGAAUAAGCACCGGCAAACUACGUGCCAGCAGCCGCGGUAAUACGUAGGGUGCGAGCGUUGUCCGGAAUUACUGGGCGUAAAGGGCGUGCAGGCGGUCUGAUAAGUCAGGUGUGAAAGGUCUCGGCUAAACCGAGAAAGGUCACUU
RNAcentral lists this ribosomal RNA (275 nucleotides) under uncultured bacterium. RNAcentral's name for it is "partial 16S ribosomal RNA". It matches the Rfam family "Bacterial small subunit ribosomal RNA", at positions 338 to 628 of the family's 1533-position model. The record is from RNAcentral.